This 299-nucleotide ribosomal RNA is filed under the name Salmonella enterica subsp. enterica serovar Agona. RNAcentral's name for it is "partial 23S ribosomal RNA". It matches the Rfam family "Bacterial large subunit ribosomal RNA", at positions 1108 to 1324 of the family's 2925-position model. Lineage: Bacteria; Pseudomonadati; Pseudomonadota; Gammaproteobacteria; Enterobacterales; Enterobacteriaceae. The record is from RNAcentral.
AGAAGCAGCCAUCAUUUAAAGAAAGCGUAAUAGCUCACUGGUCGAGUCGGCCUGCGCGGAAGAUGUAACGGGGCUAAACCAUGCACCGAAGCUGCGGCAGCGAACGUAUCACUUAAAGCGAUUCAGCGGGUUACGAUUGACGGAGCGAAGCGACGUCAAAGCGUAUACAAAGUCGAGUCGGUUUAAGGAUACGUUCGUUGGGUAGGGGAGCGUUCUGUAAGCCUGCGAAGGUGGCCUGUGAGGGUUGCUGGAGGUAUCAGAAGUGCGAAUGCUGACAUAAGUAACGAUAAAGCGGGUGA